Molecule: long non-coding RNA, 282 nt
Filed under: Durio zibethinus
Lineage: Eukaryota; Viridiplantae; Streptophyta; Magnoliopsida; Malvales; Malvaceae
Description: long non-coding RNA (DZIB_LNC000996)
Source: RNAcentral
CAUGUCCAACCUUCCUCUCCAAAAAAACCAAAAUUCUCUCUAAACUCCUUGUGAACACCGACCACCCCUUCCUAGAUUUCAAUAUUCAGCCGUCGUUACCGCCUCCACACUGUUGUCGACAGCGCUUUCCGACAGCGAUUUUGUUCCCAAAAUACUCCAAAAUCUUCCCUUCGACCUCUAAAGACUUCUACCGAAAUAGAUUUCCCCGUAAUCUACUAGAUUUUUCUAGAUCUGAGCUGAAAUUCGUGGUUUCAACAAAACCCUCUUUUCAUUCUCUUCAAC